AAGAGAGCUCAAACUAGUUCAAAGUUCUUGACAAUGUAUAGGUAAAUUUCUUGAUUAAUGACGAUGUGUUUGGGUUUUCUGAUGAAUAAACCAGAACUUUCUGUCAGCUACCUAGAUGCGAAAGCGUGCACGAGUGAUUUCUCUUCUUGAUUAUGAAGUGUAUGGCAAAAGUCUUUCUAAUUGGGAAAGUUGGGGUCGGUUGUCACACGAGGACCAACAUUUACCGAAGUAAGCCAGUCUGAGAAGUAAACCUUUUUUUUUUUCUGUGUUUGUUCUGUGCUAAUAGAUAGAUGCUAUCUGAAACUUUUUUAAUAUUGGCAUUUUAGUCGUCAUUCAAUUUGUUAUUAAGAAAUUCUUCUCAAGGGCGUUGGUAGUCUUAGGUAUAUCAUGGCCUUCACCAUUUAGAUGAAAUAAAUUUCAACUUUGUAUACAUUUUACAUACAUGUUGCUGGGAAAUGGUUUUUUGUGUUUUGAUGCCGUUCUCUUUUUGAUAAAAAUUCAUAUGAAGAAAGGACACAAAUUCCCUGUGUUGUCUACAAACAAAACCCCAGGUUUGGAAAGAUUUACAUCUGAAGAAGAAGCUAACUGCGUAGAGGAAGGAAGAAAGCCGGCUUGGAUCGACGAGGAGGAGAUCUAGAUAGUCGUUGACAUUUAAAGAUAAAUGGAUAGAAAAAGAAAAGAGAAUGAGGGCUUUAUUUUAGCAACUGAUUGUGUUAGUAGGUUAAAGCUCCAAUCUGCUAGGUUAAAUCUGGGUACAGAAUGGGCUGGUUUAGGUAGAGGAAAAAAAUUAGAGGUUUAGUGUUUGGACCUGAUGAUUCUGAUGAGUACGGAAGUUUAUGGGUUAGGUUUAGUGAUGCUUUAUUCAACAAAUUUUUCUAACCUAUAUCCGGGAUGACCGAAUUAUUUUUACCUGGAUCAACUGCGCUGGUGUGAAUCCCUGCUAGAGUAACAAGCUAAUGCUGAGGAUCAAGGAUCAAUUCCUGCAAAGCAAAAUCUAUGCCCUAACUGAGGACAUAUACUGUUUCUUAUGCAUUGUGGCUUUCAUGUGCUUAUUUUAAUGAUUUGAAUGAUAAUUGUGACAAGCAAACUCAGUACCCAUAUUUUUUGUAUUGGGGCAUUCUUGCAAGUGGGUGGAGAUUACAGCGCGCCUAUCUAGGCACAUUGAUAAUUACCCACAUCAAGAUAAAACUGACGUGCAUGGGAAUCGACCUUCUGAUCCAUCAACCUAAUGUAGAUAUCCAUUCGCCUGAGUAUCCAGUGGAAGCUAAAAUUUCUAAUCUUUUGCGUGAAGUCAAGGAAAUCACAGAGAACAAUGUGCAAUGUUCGGCUGUAAAAUUGGACGCAAUGUCGAUAUUGGGCUCAACAACAAAUCAAUGAGAAACAUUCGAGGAUGACAAGUUGAAACAUCCAAUUACAAAAUUCCUUCCAGUUUGGGAUUCGAUGCCAUCUUCAUUUUAAUGGAGGUGAUGAUACCAGUUCCAACCCUGGGUCUCUCUUUUCUUUUGAAAUGGAAAGCUCCUGCGAAUGCAACGACAUGCUGCUGCCACGAAAAAGGCAAGCUACGCCAUUGAUUUGCAGGGUGAUGAAGAUUUGUGGGAGCUUGGUAAUUUUGUAGGUUUCAAUCUCACUCUUGAGGUUGCUUCUAUAGAGAGUUUGGUUCCCUCCUACAAUACUUAAGCUGCCUUGGAAGUCCCAAAAUUUGUGUGAAAACAGUCAUCAAGCAGCAGUGCCUCACCAUAUGGAUAUGCUGGUCAUGAGUUUGAUCCUCACUCCCUACAAAGCUCAUACUCGGCUAUGUGCACAAGGCAUAUAUCCCUCCUGGCCAUGGGAGGGAGCUAAUGGCUCCAUGGAUUUUGAUGUUGCUCGAUAAUUGGUAAAAAAAAGAGGAGAGAACAUUGCUGGUGAAACUCCCUUGAAGGAAGUAUACAAGAAGGGGCUUGCAGCAAGCUUGUCAAAAGACAAUAAUAAUUGGCUGUGAAAAAUCAAGAUCUUAACUUUAAGGAAAAAGUCCCUGUUCCCCAGGAGGGUUUCUAAGGCAUCUUUUAUGAGUGUGUUUUUUCUGGUUCUGUGGUUAAAUCUAACAGACUUCACCAUUCCAUACUCCAAGUGCGUGCUUAAAUUGUUUGAAUAUUACUGUUUGUUAGGUGGUACAUUAUUCCUAAGCUUACACAGUUUUGCAUGGCCAUUUUUAUUUCUUAUACCAAGUUCCUCUUUUCCUUUUUUGUUUUCAUUUGAAUAUGUAGUCUGCAAAAUGUUGGCCAAGGAUGGGAUUGUUGAGAUGAGGCAUGAGCUGUAGGUUGAGAUGGGCAAAUUACUUGUGGCCUUAUUGUAAACGAGGAGUCUUAUCAGACAUGGAAAGAAAACUCGUCAUUGAGCUUAGGUAAAAACAAACAAUUCAGUUUUUAUUUUUA
Molecule: long non-coding RNA, 2411 nt
Organism: Cryptomeria japonica (Japanese cedar)
Lineage: Eukaryota; Viridiplantae; Streptophyta; Pinopsida; Cupressales; Cupressaceae
Exons: 2
Source: RefSeq, a predicted model, not a curated record